CGCUCUUCAGGACAUGGUUUUUGAUGCGGAAUCCAAGUCAGUGUUGCAUACAGAGAUGGCAAAGAAGAAUCUAUUUGUGAAAAGAGGAAUAGUAGCAGAUUCUAGUGCUUAUGAUCAAAGUAAACGUUUGAGAACUGGUGGUGACUAUUCUCACACUGCUUAUACAACUCCAUCUCCUUUUCACCCUCCUCCUGCCCCCGUCUGGGGACCACAUGGGUAUAUGGCCCCUGCUCCACCUCCAUAUGAUCCAUAUGCAGGCUAUCCUGUUCCUCAGGUACCAAUGCCAACCCCUGCACCGAUACCAGCUCCUAGCAGUUAUGUACCUGUUCAGAAUACAAAAGAUAACCCUCCUUGUAAUACCCUAUUUAUUGGUAAUCUUGGAGAGAAUAUCAAUGAGGAAGAACUGAGGGGUCUAUUCAGCGUACAACCUGGCUUUAAGCAAAUGAAAAUUUUGAGACAGGAAAGACAUACUGUUUGUUUUAUUGAAUUUGAAGACGUGAACAGUGCAACCAAUGUGCACCGUAGUUUGCAAGGUGCUGUUAUCCCAAGCUCUGGUUCUGUUGGCAUGCGAAUACAGUACUCAAAGAACCCAUUUGGUAAGAGGAAAGAUGCAAGUCACCCUGCUGCUUCUCCCAGUGCCAAUGGAGCUCCACCAACUAUUACCUACCAGUAGCUCGAAGGGGAUGUACUCUGAUCCUUAUGCACCGAGAAAUACAUGAUAGGAUGCAUCUUGCAGCUGUUGCAUGCAUCCAUUUCAUAUUCAACAUCAGCAUUAGCAUCUCUUCUCAUGUGCAUGAAUGCACACAGUGCUGUCAUGAACGCACCAUCUGUUCAUGUUAUACUAAUUUCUCCUGGACAUGCAUUUGUCAGCACCAUAUGUUGAUGUGUGGAUAACCUAAUAGGGCAGAUAUAUUUACCAUUUGUAGAAGUGGUGCAUCGCAGUUUUUUU
RNAcentral lists this unclassified non-coding RNA (949 nucleotides) under Hevea brasiliensis (rubber tree). The record is from RNAcentral. Lineage: Eukaryota; Viridiplantae; Streptophyta; Magnoliopsida; Malpighiales; Euphorbiaceae.